UACGUAGGGUGCGAGCGUUAAUCGGAAUUACUGGGCGUAAAGCGUGCGCAGGCGGUGAUGUAAGACAGAUGUGAAAUCCCCGGGCUCAACCUGGGAACUGCGUUUGUGACUGCAUCACUCGAGUACGGCAGAGGGAGGUGGAAUUCCACGUGUAGCAGUGAAAUGCGUAGAGAUGUGGAGGAACACCGAUGGCGAAGGCAGCCUCCUGGGCCAGUACUGACGCUCAUGCACGAAAGCGUGGGGAGCAAACAGG
This 253-nucleotide ribosomal RNA is filed under the name uncultured bacterium. Its description in RNAcentral is "partial 16S ribosomal RNA". It matches the Rfam family "Bacterial small subunit ribosomal RNA", at positions 524 to 776 of the family's 1533-position model. The record is from RNAcentral.